This 916-nucleotide long non-coding RNA is filed under the name Mus musculus (house mouse). RNAcentral's name for it is "long non-coding RNA chr7:36695437-36696353". The record is from RNAcentral. Lineage: Eukaryota; Metazoa; Chordata; Mammalia; Rodentia; Muridae.
CUGAUGGAUGCGCCAAUGGUUGGACGGACAGAUGUUAGGGCGGAUCACACAGUGCGCGGCGCCUGAGCAGGGAGGGCUAGGCACUGGCAAGCAGGGGUGAGGACGGGCGACAGGGGAGCCGCUUGGGUCACGGCACGAGGGUAUGAGGGGUGGGGGUGGGCAGCGAGAGAACGAAGGUUGAGAGAGCACCAAAAGAAAGCAAAGGGAGAGGGAAGCAUCCUUUGGGCGAACUCCCGGUGCGUGGUACCCAGCGCUAUGAACACGUCGCCGCCGCCGGCGUGCCUAGAUGGGCUCUCCCCGCUUUGAAUGUAAGCCAGACCUUCUGGGUCUGACCUCCAGGGACAACGACCCUCCUUCAGGUCAGAGGGGCGCCGCGGCCACCUGAACCGUAAGGCCAACGGCGGGGCCAGACGACUCACCGAUCCCUCGCUCGCAAGAAGCUUUACGCGCCGAGGCCCGCGUCUCCACGGCCUGGAGGAGACGCUGCUUCGGCCUCUGAGGCCGCAGGCAUCAGACACCCCAGGCGCACCCACCCACGGGUACGCGACACACACACAGGCAGCUCGGGAGCUCAGCCGCAGCCGGCUUCUGGCUCUCGACUCCGCCCGGGAUCCACACCGGGUUAACUCAACUCUCGAGCGCCUAGGCGCUGGAGCCGGCUUUAUAGCCCCGGAGGACAGCAGCCACACAUCUGCAUUCAGGGAGGCGUCUGGACCCAGCCCAAGCCGGCCGGCCGGGGGCGAGCGGAGACUUUUGAUCUUACCGGUAGGGUGAGAUCUUGGUCUCCUGGUCUAUAAGAAAAAGAAAGCACGCUGUGAACUUUUAAAACAAACUUGAAAAACCAACCACAAAGAAAGCAUGAAAAAGAGACAGGGCUGAAUAAGAGGGAAGAGAAGAAUAAGUUUAAAAUAAGAGG